GAGUCACUUCAGAGAUCAGGUCAUCUGUAGCCUAAAGAGAGCCAAGGGGGUGGCCUUGUCAUUCGCAGAGAAGGCUGAGCUCCCCAGAGAGCUGCCUCUGUGUGCUGUCACUGCCAAGAAGAGGGGCUACAAAUUUCAGCAGCUCAAGUCAGCAGUGGAGUCAACCAAGACUGAAACGGGUGCCCAGAGAACUAGGAAGAAUUGGGACCCAUAUCAAGUAAUUUUUGGUGUUCACAAAGAAAGAUAUAAGCUGCACAGGGCCAGCGAUCUCUCUUUGGUUCAUUAAUAGAACUCCAAUACCUCCCUGGAGCACUGCUUGGUGACAUGUGUUCUCCAAAUGGAAAAAUACAGUUCUGUUUUUCCCUUUCGUGAAACUGGCCCAAAGUGUGAACAAACAAGCCACGACCAGGCUGACAGACUAAAACACCGAUGGAAGUCACAUUAAAAUAAUUUUGUUCUGCAUAAUGAUGAAGCAGUGGAGCAUUCCCUCAUUAUACAGGGAACAGAUUCGGGAAAAUCGCUUUGAAGAAUGCGGCAAAUUAUUUUGUAUACUACAUCCAAGGCUACUGAACCAGAAGAAUAAGGACAUACUGCUUAUUGGAAACUGAAGUACAGGGAGGUUACUUGUCCAGUGCCACUCAACGAUUCUGGGUCCUCUAAGAGGAAUCAUUUCUCACAGAAGGAUGAUUGAGCUCUCUCAAAGAAGAGAUGGAUUAGCUCCUGAAAACAGUUAUAAAGGACCCAGUGCAUGGCAACUACUAAGCCAAGUAUAUAUAGAGAAAAAUAAUGAAAUAUUAAAAGGAAACUAGCUUUGCUAAUUUAUUGAGAUAAAAAACAGAAAAGCAGACUAGCUGAAAGUCCUACAAGAGGACAGUGAUGCUCCAGCCCAUUGGGACAUUGAGGCAUCAACCAAUGUGCCAUUAAAUAAUAAAACCUGUGAGGAGGCAAUGCGGGAGAAUAAAAGCCUAUUAAAGUGCUCCUAAGAGUUAAGACUCUUGCCAGCAGAGCCAUCUGUCAAGAGAUUAUGGAGAAGGAAAUUUCUGCAGGAAUUUUCCCUUGGGACCAGAUGAAGUGCCAAGAAAAGGUGUGUGGCAUCAGGAGUGAAGACAAACUCUGAGAGUCUUCUGCAGCGCUCAUCACAGAGAGGGAGCCCUCAAGCCACAGAGUCUCAGGGAAGAGGAAGAGCAGACCUGGAAGUCUGCAUUGUCUUUGACUGGAGAACCGAAGUCACAGGAAAAAGAGUUCAUGAAAACGAAUCUCCUUAGGGUAUCCUCAAGGCUGAGAAGUGGCCUUUGAGUAGAGUCAGCUCCCACAGUGGCUCAAGACCCAAGGCAAUUCAAGAGAAAAAAACAAAACAAAACAGCAGCUUUAUUCAAGAGACAACGAUGGCAUAUGAGUCCAGAAGAUAGGACCAACUAUGGCUUUCUGAAAUGAGAUGUUCAAGGAGACCGCAUGCUUUGGGAUCAAUUUUUUCUUUGGUCAAAAAGCACCAAGCCAAGAGUACAAAUGGAAGUCCCCUUGGCUAUUUCCCUACUCUUUUCACUUCCAGCUUCAUUCUGCACCUUGAAGAGAUCUUCUGUACACGUGGUGUGGAUGGAAUUGCCAUUGAGAUGGAGAAAGAGGAACAUAAACAGAAGGCCAGGAACCUAGAAGACAACAUUGAAAUUUCCUGGAUUCAAUCACCUUCUCACCAGUCCGAAUGUGGAACUCAGUCUCAAUUCAGUUCCACUGGAGUUGGAGUCAAAGAAUAUAAUCUACAGAUGAUUAAUCAGUUAUGCGAUUAUGUUUGAAGAACGGGGUAUUACACUACAGAUUCUUCAGAGAAGAGACAAUAGCUACCUUCAGUUUACAUUUGACAUCUGAAUGCAGUUGCUCCUGUCUUAGAAGGCUAUGUGUUACAGAUGUGAAAGGAUAAAUUCACCCCUGUGGUUGAUAUUUAUGGGAAUGCAAGGUGACGGCUGGAAUCUCAAAGACCUCCUGGAGCCUCACAGGGCGUUGCCAAUCAUCUUGGAAAUGGAGCCAACCUUGCCCUUCGGGGCCUUUAUGCCAAACAAGCCUACAUUGUCUGCAUCAAAAGGACAGAAGAUUACAGAAUAAAAACAGAAAAAGGAGAAGAAGCAAUGAUUGAAAAGAAAAGCCACCUAUAUCCUCCUGCUAAGUUUCCCUUGAGAAGAAUGAGUAAAAUGAGCUCUAUAGCCUCAUAACCAUGGAAGGGAUUUCCUGUACAAUGUUCACAACUUUGGCAAGUGGCCACAUAUGGAUUCGAGAAGAUCAUGGUGAUUCAAGCAUGGCUAUGUUGAGUGAAGUCUAUGUGAUUUUCAUUUGGAGAAGAAGAGAGUUGAUUCAUCCUGAUUGGACAAUGGUGAAUGAGACUCAGGAGCUGUGUCUGCUUCCUGACUUCUUACUUGACCAGGGAGGAUGUGAAUGGUUGUGUGAAGGGGGUUGAGUGACUCUACUGUGGGAACAAUUCCCAGGAAUGAUCUAUCUUCCUCUCUCACUGAGUGUCUACUGUGUAUUUUUAUGGCACUAAUUACUACAUGGGGGCCCUAACAGGUCACAUUAGUCCAGGGAGAACACAAGAAUCAAGGAAAACAUUGUCAUAUCAUUUUCCUGAGGUUUGCUGGUGAAAUUUUGGAACUUCUUUUCCUUUGGACUUCAAAAUAUUAACUGCCAUGUUGUAUUAAUAUAAUGUACUAAUAUUCCUUGGCAUGAUUAAUUUUUUCCUACUAAAUUUGAAGCCUUUGAAAGCUUUGUGUCUUGGGAUCAAGACUAUAGGCCUGUUAUAUUUUUUCUCAGGCUUGCCUGAAAAAUGUUUAAGUAUGAGAAUGAAAGAAUAUUGAUGCUAUCUCUCUAUACACAAAGAUUCAGCUUAGGGGAGAGAUAAAUGUUUGUCCUUAACAACCAGCUCCAAACCAGGACCAAGCACACCUCCCCCCCAUAUACAAAUCACUUCCCACAUUCCCAUAUGAUUGCACACUUGACUAUCACGGUGCUCAGUACUGUGAUUUUUUAAUUUAUUUUAUUAAAAAAUUUUUUUAAAGAUUUUAUUUAUUUAUUCAUGAGAGAGAGACACACACACACACAGAGGCAGAGACAUAGGCAGAGGGAGAAGCAGGCUCC
Long non-coding RNA from Canis lupus familiaris (dog), 3120 nucleotides. RefSeq lists it as uncharacterized. Lineage: Eukaryota; Metazoa; Chordata; Mammalia; Carnivora; Canidae. The record is from RefSeq and is a predicted model, not a curated record. The transcript has 18 exons.